AGCCAGUCGUUGUAUAUCAGCACACACCAACGGCGAGUGAGCAGCAAUAGCUCAAAUUUGAAAUCUGGCGUCUUCGACGUCCGAGUUGUAAUUUGUAGAGGAUGCUUCUGAGUGGCCACCGACCUAAGUUCCUUGGAACAGGACGUCAUAGAGGGUGAGAAUCCCGUAUGCGGUCGGAAAGGCGCUCUAUACGUAGCUCCUUCGACGAGUCGAGUUGUUUGGGAAUGCAGCUCUAAAUGGGAGGUAAAUUUCUUCUAAAGCUAAAUAUUGGCCAGAGACCGAUAGCGCACAAGUAGAGUGAUCGAAAGAUGAAAAGCACUUUGGAAAGAGAGUUAAAAAGCACGUGAAAUUGUUAAAAGGGAAGGGAUUGCAACCAGACUUGCUCGCGGUGUUCCGCCGGUCUUCUGACCGGUCUACUCGCCGCGUUGCAGGCCAGCAUCGUCUGGUGCCGCUGGAUAAGACUUGAGGAAUGUAGCUCCCUCGGGAGUGUUAUAGCCUCUUGUGAUGCAGCGAGCGCCGGGCGAGGUCCGCGCUUCGGCUAGGAUGCUGGCGUAAUGGUCGUAAUCCGCCCGUCUUGAAACACGGACCAAAAAAAAAAAAAAAAAAAUAUUUCGGAUGUUUAAAUUUUUUGUGUCCUUCUAAGCGGUGAGUUUCGUAUGUUUUUU
RNAcentral lists this ribosomal RNA (665 nucleotides) under Cladosporium macrocarpum. RNAcentral describes it as "partial 26S ribosomal RNA". The stretch from base 1 to 585 matches the Rfam family "Eukaryotic large subunit ribosomal RNA", at positions 45 to 664 of the family's 3401-position model. The record is from RNAcentral. Lineage: Eukaryota; Fungi; Ascomycota; Dothideomycetes; Cladosporiales; Cladosporiaceae.